Non-coding RNA from Rhopilema esculentum, 1762 nucleotides. Lineage: Eukaryota; Metazoa; Cnidaria; Scyphozoa; Rhizostomeae; Rhizostomatidae. The record is from RefSeq and is a predicted model, not a curated record.
AUGAUAAAUCUACGUGCACUGCUGAGUGCUGGUUGGCAUUCCUUUUCGAACUCGAAGCGGUUGUCGACGGUCGUGUUCUGUGCUACGGUGUUACGGUGCUACUGUGCUACAGUGCUACAGUAGCUACGUACGGUACACCCGCUGCUGCCCGUUUUUCGGUUCUGCGAUGGCUGCUGGCUGUUCCCCUUCUUCACUGGCAUCAAAAUCGAUGGCAUGGGAGUACAAAUGAACGAUCGGAUUCGCUGACUUUUUGGUACAACAAAUCAAAGAUCGUUUCAAUCAAUAAUUAUGACGCAGACGUGAUCCUCAACCCCUUCGAAACGAAAUUUAUGGCAUUUAUGCUGGCGUAAAAUCGAACAAAGAAACAAGAAAAAACCAUGACUGUGGAGAAAAUUACUAAAUCUGUGAAGAUUAGCAGUUGUCCAUGAAUUGUAUUUUGUUAAUUUGUUGUUUGAGUAAGAAUCCUUUCUGAUGCACGAAACUUUUGCUGUUUUCUAUCUCUCAAUUUCUUAAGUGCUUUGUUGCUGUAGUGUUUUAAAAGCUAAUUGUGACGAAGAUAUGUUACCAGGCCCUCAAAUGAAAUAACUGUGUAAUUAUUUUAAUUCUUUGGAGUUUAGAUCAGAAAUCGUUAACAUUUUUUAUGAAUCAACAUACUUUUUUAGGAAUUUUUAUUCUUAAGAAAUUUUCAGAUGAUGUUUGUCUAAACGAGCACCAUGGACCAAUAACGGCUAACAGGAAUAUUGUGUUGGAAAAUUUUAAUAUUUGAUUCAGAAUAAACAGGGAGCUUUGAGGGUGGCCCGCAAUUAUGUCUUAAAACAGCAUCACAAGUGAACAAAGAUUGAACAAAGUGCUUUAAAAUGAACAUUACAGCUCUAAGAAUGACCUUAGAAAAUAUUUAAAAAAAGCCCCUUUAAGUCGACAAGGGCUAAGAGUGUACGACUAGAAAAUUUUAAAAUUUGUUGGAGAACUUUAAAAUUUGAUUCUGACUAAAUAGGAGAACUUUUAGGAAUAACCCAUGAAAUUAUGUCAACGAGGAUUAAUAAUUGGUGGGGGCAGGCAGAAGCAUGUUGUUGUCAAGCUUUAAAGUAGAAUUCAGAAUAAUAAGCAGAGCUUUUAGAUAAGCCUGCAAAGUAUUUCAACGAUUCAUCAAGAGAUAAAAAAAGAUGGACACUUAAAAACAUUGCAAUUAGAAUAAACAGGAGAAAUGAAGAGGGUAACACGUGAAAAUAUUUAAACGAGGACCAUGAAUAGACCGGGGCUUGCAAAAUGUUUUUAAACAACUUUCAACCCUGCCUCUACAUGACAAAUGUAAUGUAUCAAAUUGAAAGAAUGCACAUUUCGAUUAACAGAAGACUAGCUCCCCUACGAAGCCCGCUACGCGGGCUUGCCAGUGGCCCUACGGUUGAAUAUUAAGAUUAGCCUUGGAAAGACAAGAGUGGCCCUACAGUUGAAUAUUGAGAUUAGCCUUGGAAAGACAAGAGUGCCAUAAACCUCGAUUCCAAAAUGAGAAGAGGUCACGUGAUAAAAAAAUUGCUUGCACUCCUGUGCGAAUUAAAUUCACACUUUUGUGACUAUCGCUAGGAAGGGGGGAGCCUCAACCCCAUCUUUCUUUUAAGGCUCCCCCCUUCCUAGCGAUAGUCACAAAAGUGUGAAUUUAAUUCGCACAGGAGUGCAAGCAAUUUUUUUAUCACGUGACCUCUUCUCAUUUUGGAAUCGAGGUUUAUGGCACUCUUGUCUUUCCAAGGCUAAUCUCAAUAUUCAA